UGCUGAAUAAAUGACAAUAUUUUGGUGAAUGUCUUGUUUAGAUAUCUGAAAAAUUUCAUCGGAUCACAAGCAAAGACCUCCUUGGGACCUUCAAUGCAUCCCUUGACAAAUUUGUGCCUGGCCUGCUGAAACUGUACCGGUCUAACGGUGGAGCUCUUUGUGAGGAGAUGGAAGACCUCCUGGAUAAACUUGACGAACAGGACACUGACAUUUUGGAACCAGUGUUGAACGGUGUAUCAGUUGCCAUCCUCACCAUCCUACAAGAUGACGAUGCCGAUACGUCUGUGCGAGAACAUGCAGUUGUGUUGGAAGGGGACAUCGUGCUACAUAACAUUCCAGAUCUCUCUACUGCCUUGGCAUACCUCUUUGGCCUUCUGUAUGCCCUCAACAUUGAUUAUCCAAAGCAGAUGAGUUACACCUUUAAAGCAAUUGAGGCCAUCUUAUUUUGACCUGGUCGGACUUUAUGAAGGUGAAGUGGAUAAAUCAUUAUUUGAAAUGUAAAUUUUAGUCAGAUGAAUCUGUAUUGUUGAGAAUAUAUGGUGAAAAUUUGUCUUGUAGUAUUUUAAAAGAUUUGUUAUAGUGUUUUCCAUAUGAAGCAUAGAACUGGUGUUUUACCUGUUAGUUUCCUCUUCAUUGAUGGUAACAUUUCUAAUCACUUUUAACUUCCAUAGUUCAUCAUAGUAAGCCCAUGUAAAAUGUCAGUGUCUGGGUACAUAGGCACUCGUUUGUGGCACUACCCUAUUUAAGGUGCAAUAGUUAUGUUCAGCU
This is a long non-coding RNA of Astatotilapia calliptera (eastern happy), 768 nucleotides long. The record is from Ensembl. NCBI's taxonomy places the organism in Eukaryota, Metazoa, Chordata, Actinopteri, Cichliformes, Cichlidae.